CCUACGGGAGGCAGCAGUAGGGAAUAUUGCUCAAUGGGGGAAACCCUGAAGCAGCAACGCCGCGUGGAGGAUGAAGGUUUUCGGAUUGUAAACUCCUUUUGUUAGAGAAGAUAAUGACGGUAUCUAACGAAUAAGCAACGGCUAACUCCGUGCCAGCAGCCGCGGGAAUACGGAGGGUGCAAGCGUUACUCGGAAUCACUGGGCGUAAAGAGCGCGUAGGCGGGAUAGCAAGUCAGAUGUGAAAUCCUAUGGCUUAACCAUAGAACUGCAUUUGAAACUGUUAUUCUAGAGUAUGGGAGAGGGAGGUGGAAUUCUUGGUGUAGGAGUAAAAUCCGUAGAGAUCAAGAGGAAUACUCAUUGCGAAGGCGACCAUCUAGAACAUAACUGACGCUGAGGCGCGAAAGCGUGGGGAGCAAACAGGAUUAGAUACCCGAGUAGUC
RNAcentral lists this ribosomal RNA (440 nucleotides) under uncultured bacterium. RNAcentral's name for it is "partial 16S ribosomal RNA". It matches the Rfam family "Bacterial small subunit ribosomal RNA", at positions 338 to 795 of the family's 1533-position model. The record is from RNAcentral.